RNAcentral lists this ribosomal RNA (302 nucleotides) under Acartia tonsa. Its description in RNAcentral is "bacterial SSU rRNA". It matches the Rfam family "Eukaryotic small subunit ribosomal RNA", at positions 51 to 374 of the family's 1831-position model. Lineage: Eukaryota; Metazoa; Arthropoda; Copepoda; Calanoida; Acartiidae. The record is from RNAcentral.
AUGCAUGUGCCAAAGUGAGAGAGACUACGAAAGGCUCAUUAAAACAUAUCAACUUGAUUGAAAGGAAAGAACAGCGGAAGGAUAACUUUGGUAAUUCUCAAGCUAAUACAUAAGACAAGGCAAUAGGAGUUGUGGAAGGUAAGCGCUUGAGAAACCAAACACGGAAGUGUACUAAAGUUGACCUGAAGCCGUUCUUGAUAGUUCAGUUAACCUGACUAUCAGUUCAUUCAUGGUAUGACCUAUCAACUGUAGACUGGGUGCCUUAGGCGCACAGUUGUUGUGACGGGUAACAGAGAAUCAGG